Non-coding RNA from Desulfosporosinus sp. OT, 99 nucleotides. The record is from Rfam. NCBI's taxonomy places the organism in Bacteria, Bacillati, Bacillota, Clostridia, Eubacteriales, Desulfitobacteriaceae.
CUCUUAUUCAGAGUAGGUGGAGGGACUGGCCCGAUGAAACCCGGCAACCGGCAUUUAUGCACGGUGCUAACUCCUGCAGAGAAAUCUGGGAGAUAAGAG